Molecule: ribosomal RNA, 232 nt
Filed under: uncultured bacterium
Lineage: Bacteria
Description: partial 16S ribosomal RNA
Rfam family: Bacterial small subunit ribosomal RNA
Source: RNAcentral
CACGGGUGAGUAACACGUAUCCAACCUGCCGUCUACUCUUGACAGCCUUCUGAAAGGAAGAUUAAUACAAGAUGGCAUCAUGAGUCCGCAUGUUCACAUGAUUAAAGGUAUUCCGGUAGACGAUGGGGAUGCGUUCCAUUAGAUAGUAGGCGGGGUAACGGCCCACCCAGUCUUCGAUGGAUAGGGGUUCUGAGAGGAAGGUCCCCCACAUUGGAACUGAGACACGGUCCAA